GCUUCAAAGGUAAAAGGUGAUUCUGGUCCUGAAGAGCAGCAUCAGAAGAAGAUAGGCUCUCUCACUCUCCAGAAGUUCUCAGGAGAUCUCAGUCCUGGUCCAAGACAAUUUGCCCGACUGAAGUCUGGAAGACAGCACAUUGCAAAAAAGGUCAUGAAUGACCCACUCCUGGAAAAAAAACCCACAUACCAGCUUCAUUUACUAUAAAGUUCCUUUAGGAAAUAAGUCAAAGGAUAUGAAAGCCAUCAUCAGGGUAUGCUUAAAAUUCUCUGAAGACACAAUUGCACAUCUAUAUUUUAAAUUAAAAACUUUAAGAAAUAUAUAAUAAUAUCUUUAUGACCACAAUCUCACAUUGAGUGCUUAUAGUGGUCCCACAUGGUGAUGUGAACUUCAUAUAAUUAUUUCAUUUGAUUAUUUCCACAGCUCUGUAAGGUGACUACUAUUGUCCGUACAUCAUAGGUUUUAGAAACCAUAGAGAAAGAUUUAGUAACUUGCUUAUUUUCAUAUGUUCCAUCAACUCACAAAUGUUCACAAAGAGUUCAAAAACUCUUCUUAAGAGCUUCCUUACCUAUAGGUUAAGGAAAAAUCCUUAUCUCAUAAAGUUAAAAAUCUUGUUCUCAUCGUUCAGGGAACAAUGACCUAAAAAUUAGUAUACAAAAGACUUGAAGAAAAUAUGAGGAGAAGCAGUUUUUUCCAAUUGGGUUUAUGGAAAUCUAUUUCAGAAUAUCAGCCUUCAAAUUGAGCACAGAUUUUUUAAAUGACAUUAUUGGCCAAACUACUCUGUAAGAACAAGCCUUAAAGUCACCUUCCAGAUUACCUUUACGAUAAUGUUCAAUGAGCAUCAGAGUCCAACUUAAAAUAUCUUAACUCUCUUUGGUUUGAAGCUGCAUAAUUUAUAUCAAAACCACCACGCUAUAAAGACUUAUGUUGGAGCAACCAAAAGGAUGAGAGGCAGAACAAAAUUCUGCAAGGUAUCACUGACAGAUAAGAAUGGUACACCAAGAGCAUUGGACACUAUACCCAUCUUCAUCAUGACCUUGUUUGUAGACAAAAGCAAGUCACUCAAUCCUUAGGGUCUCAGUUCGAUGAAAAAGUUAUUGACUAGAGGAGAUUACUUAAUGUUUCUUCAAGUUCUCUAAGUAAUUUUUUUAGGUGAAAAGAGACAAUAGCCAGACCAUAAUGGUGGACAGUAGUCAGUAUCAGGGAUGAAUCUGUUUCAUAUACAAGUAAAGCACAUGCACCAAAAGGCAAGCCCAAAUGGUUAAAGACUUGGCACGGUACCUCUAAGUGAUACAGAAGAAUGUAUUUCAGUUUUUCAGUUUUAUUUAUACACAAUAAAAUAUUUAAGAGAAUACUUAACCAUUCUUUUCAGGAACAAAUAAAAGACUAUUUGUAAUCUUGAAGGCAAUAUUCAAGAAAAAUAUAUAUUGUUCUCAGAUAGUUUUUAAAAAGCAGUGUUUAACAAUAUUUUUGGCAAAGGGAAAAUUGUGAAUAACAUGGUAUGCAGCUGUGUAUGGAAAAACUAAAAAUGGAACUGUAAUUUGGUCUUAAAUUAGAAACACAUCUGAGUUUAGUUAACAAUUUGAGAGUGAUAUUAAUUUGUUUCUUUCACUCAAUUGUUUUAUAUGUGUCAAAGAGAAGAGAGAGGGAAGGAGAAGAAGGAGAAAAGGAGGAAGGAGAAGGAUUCAAGGCAGGAGAGGGAAAGAGAAAAUGUAUGACAACUAAACACAAAUAUCACAGUGCAUAUGUGAUCUUUAUUCUGCUUACAGUUAGGCUUUCUAAAAAUAGGCAAAAGUACUUUACCUUGAAAAGGAAAACCAUUGAAGUUCUUUCAAAAUCGACUAAAAAGGCAAGGUGUUUAAGAUAAACCUAUGACUUCUUAGCUGUAUAAUCUAAUCUUAAGUGUGCUUCAGGCUUACCAUUACUUCCAAUAACAGACACACAAAUACAAAACCAAUAAAACCCAUUAAAAAGUCCUAUGAGACUGUGAAAACUGUAUUUGACUAAAUUACAAGAUCUAAGGGCAUAGAAUAGAUUUAUUCGUAAUCAGUAAUGAUUACUAAAUGACCAUAAAUGUUUCUUAUUUAGGCCAUACCCAACUGCAAACAAGCCAGCGUCCCAUGGAGAUUCAAGGACAUCAUAUCUAUAGCCCAAACACAGUCAAUUCCAUGAUACUAAUCUAAACAAUCUAAUACAUUCUCUAGGAAAUUUAUUUAAUGCUAAAAAUGUGAACAGUGGUACUCACAUGUGUUAAGUCACACAAAAUCAGAAAGAAAGAAAUUGAGAAAUACAUUAACUUUUGUUACAAUACCAGAUAUUAUCAAGUUAGUCUUUAAAUGACUUUUCAACACCCAAGGAUUCCAAGUUCACUCCCUUUUGUUCUAUGUCUAAAUUGAAGGGUUGUGCUACAGUAAAUCUGGAACAUUAAUUUGUGUAAGAAUAACCCAGAUAUUUGUUAAUAAGGAUUUUCCUUAACCUUGUCCAAAUGAUUCAGAUUCAGAGAUCUGGGUUGCCACCCAGAAAUAUACAUUUUUAAGGAGUACUCUAAGAUCUAGAAUCUAGGAGACUUCAUAUACUGUACCUUGAGAAAUGAUGAACACUUUGUUUCUAAGGCUCUUUCCAGCUAUAAAAUGUUUAGGCCUUGUAGAAUAGAAAAUGGUAAAAAGAAAACAGAGGAAUAAACAUGAGUGAUGACAUAGAAGGACACAUAAUAUUAAUGAAAGUCUCACUCUUCAUCAGUGCAUACUGCCAAUAUGCCAAGCAAGGUACAUGUAAUUGGUGAUAAAGAGAUGAAGGGGAGCUCUCAGUCUACUAGAGGUGACAGAAAAUAAACAAAUAAUUAUGAUGCAGUAAUGUAAGUGCAGUAAUGGAGGGGAAAACAAAAAAGUAUUCUCCUCUCUGAUGGAAAGAAUAAGGAUGAAAAGGGAUUAUUUUUCUAUCUUUUUUAUUUUCUUCUUUCCUUCUCCUCUUCCUUAUUAUAUAUAAUAUAAUAUAAUAUAUAUAUUAUAUUAUAUUAUAUAUUCUAAUAUCCACCUCCAAGAUGACUAAUAUCAAUACCUAAUGUUUUCAUCUGUAUUAUCUCCAUUGUCAUUUAAUUUUAUACAGAUACUAGCUACAUUCAUAAACAAAUACACACAUAUAUCUGAUUUUUUUCAUUGUUUACCAUGCUGUGGCAGAUAGCUCUGAGACUUCUGAUAUUCUCACCCAUGUAUAACUCCCUCACCUUGAGUAAGGGUGUGAUCUAUGGCUUAUGAUCUAGUAAAUUGAGUACACCAAAGGUUAUUGGGUGUACAUGAUUACAGGCAUGUGAUUAUGUUACAUAAAAUUGUAAUACCUAUCUUGAUGAAAGACUGUCUCUAUGUUGCUGGUUUUGAGGAAGUAAGAGGCCAUAUUUGAAAAAAAUCUCAUGGCAAGGAACUGAGGGCAUCCCCCAUCUGAUAAUCAGAAAGAAACUUGGGCCUACAGUCCACCAACUCACAAAAAACUGAAUGCUGCAGCAACCACAUGAGCUGAGAAGUGAAUCCUUCCCCAGUCAAGCCUCAGUUGAGACCCCAGCCUCAGCUGACACCUGGAUUGAAGCCUUGUGAGAUCCUGAAGAGAGGACUCAGUUAAACCAUGCCCAGACUCCUGAUUCACAGACUAGAGAAAAUAAAUGUGUGCCAUUUUAAUUCACUGA
Felis catus (domestic cat) is the source of this 3676-nucleotide long non-coding RNA. RefSeq lists it as uncharacterized. NCBI's taxonomy places the organism in Eukaryota, Metazoa, Chordata, Mammalia, Carnivora, Felidae. The record is from RefSeq and is a predicted model, not a curated record. The transcript is spliced from 2 exons.